This is a long non-coding RNA of Scatophagus argus, 2801 nucleotides long. RefSeq lists it as uncharacterized. The transcript is spliced from 2 exons. NCBI's taxonomy places the organism in Eukaryota, Metazoa, Chordata, Actinopteri, Scatophagidae. The record is from RefSeq and is a predicted model, not a curated record.
UGUAUUGCUUUCACCUUAUUCCUCUCAGUUUCCCCAUAUAAGAUUGCUUUGUUGCUGUGUACAUUGCUCAAAUCUCAGUCAAAUUGUUUGUUCAAAUUCUCAGAUUUUCCUCACACAGUGCACCAGGUGCAUUGAUUGAAUAAUUGAUAUACAGGCGGAUUAAUUCACUGAGAUUUAUUAUCCAAACUCAGCGCACUUACACAAUAAACUUCACUUGGAAUUUAAAUUUUUAAUAUUAUAUUUUAGCAUUAGAUUACAUAUCAUCACACAUUAGACAACACAUACAUACCAAUAUAUGCUUGAUUGACCUACCGGUAUAUCAGUAGUUUUCUACUCAGUGUUGCACUGAUAUCACCUAAAAGCUUGGAAGUUACUGUAAAGUCUGAAAUACACAUCAUGAAAUCUUUUAACUCUACAACAUGCCUUGUUGAGUCUGAAGCUGAAGCACAAGCAAUACUGGUUAAAUGUUUAAGUAUUAAUAAUUUGUGGUGGGAUGUGGGGAGAAUUGUGGGUUUCUGUUUGCGACCUGUGGAAUAGAUUCCACAGGAUUCCAUAUGACAGAAUCCCUCUGCAUGAGAGCAUCCCGUGAUUUGGUCCAGAGUGAGUGGGCCAACAGGGGCCGCCAUAAGCAGAUGUCAGUGUGCGGGCCGCAUUGAAGAGGACACAAAUCUCAGCUAAGCCUCUCUUGUCCUUAUGUAACGCCCUCAGCAAGGCGCUAUGCCUCACAGAUCGCUGGUAUUUAUGAGUGACAAUGACACACACACACUUCAUACAAGCUCAAGUCCCUGUUCUCAGCAAUAGACUGGUUUUCUCUUUUUUUCCCCUUUUUUUUUCAUUAGAGAGUAUGAAAUAAGAGGAUAUAUUUAGAAACCUCCAACAACAGGCCAGCCAUUCUUUUUGUAUUGAACACUCCAUUCUCCUGGUCUCUGUGGAACCUGUGUCCAUGCAUGUAGUCCUUUUUCAUGAGGCUGCAUGUCUGUGUGUGUGUGUAUCGGCAUCUCUCCAUGCUCGUUGUCAAACCAAGGAUGAGAUCUGAGAAGUGAUGACUGCUUAAAAAUUGUUUUUUAAUUCAUCCUUUCUAUCUUUGUGAGGCACAGUCAUUUUUGCCAUCAGACCAGCAGCAGACUUUAAAGACUAUGAAGGACAAGUCUGAUUAUUGCUUGCAGUCAGCCCCAGCGCUCUCUCUCUGUCCCUCUCAUAUGGAGGAGCACACGACGGCCAUCACUUGUUGCUACAUUUGACUCAUCCCUCUGCAGUCAGGAGGUCAACAGCUUCACGAGGUGACACGGCACCAGUCUGCCAUACAGGUGAGCCUCGCAGCAUUUUCGGCGUCACUGAUUUCACAGUAGUCUAGAUAGACUGUGAAAAACACUUUUUAGGAUUCCAGUAAAUGUCUGCCAGUGUCUGUAAGAGAGGAACAAAACAACAACAAUUAGGAGUAAUUGAACACAAGAAAGAGCAUGAGAUGAGACAGAGCAACACGCUUUGUCCGUAAAUGAGCAUAAUAAUGUUUGAGACAUGACAUAUCAGCAUUUGUCUGGUGUGCAGUGAGAUAGAUGCAUCAUUUAUCUUUUUGCAUGAUUGUGUUUUUGCUGGUGUCACCUGGUGAUGAGAAACUCUUCCUCAGGUUUACUGCAUGUCAUUUGUUCUGUCAAUAUCGUUAAGUGUAAUUUUGUCAGACAAUUUGUACCACCACAGUGCUAAAGCAGGUAAUUAUUAACUAGUUUCAUGGUCAUUUUGUACCACAGUCUGGCUCUAGAAGCUGCAUUAUUAUUUUAUUUUGUUUGUAUUGUGCUCAUGCAGCGCGACUUCCUAAUAAAGUUACGUUGAAUCAAAUAAACACAAUCUAACACAAAUUAGGCAUCAUUCCACAGGCCUUCAUGUUAGCCAUUUGAGGGCAGCAUUUAUAUGGGCUACUCCAUCUGUAGUCUGUAAUAGGAGUAAUGUGCAUUUUCUAAACAGAAUUAUGCGCAGCAGUGAUUAGCUUCAUCAGUUCUUUCAUACAACUUACACACAAGAAUGUUUUUCUCUUUUUUUCUGCUGAUCUUGACUCUUCACGCCAUUACCACAGCUGUCAGCGUGCACCACUUUUAAAGUGAUAAUAUCAUUGUCUAUGAUUGUUACAACCAAUUGCUGAGGCACCCACUGAAUAGGUGUGAUUAAGGAUUCCUUUUAAUCCCAUCUCUGUUCCACUGUUGCACUGCAGGCCUUCAACUACACACCAAAAGUGUCUCUGCAUGUUGCGCUGUGUAAUUUAAUUCACCAAAAUUAGCUGAAACUCUGUGUCAAAUCAGAUGUUUCAUAUGCACUGUCUCACUCUUCCACAGACAUGUACAUUCAAGGUGUGCUCCUCAUAAUCCUCCAAAUUAACAAAUGCAGUAUGACAACCCAUGUGCUGAUGUAGAUUCAGAAGAUAGAAAUUAAGAAAAUUAUAAAAACUUAUCACUUGUUCUGAGAAUUGAUCGAUGAAUUUCUCAGGUCAGAGUAUUUGUUGUGAUGUGCAUCCUGCUUCUUUGCUGACAUUCGUUGAAAACAAAUGGCCUUGUGCUUCUGACUUUGUAGUGUCUUUGUGCAAUAGAGACACAAAACACAUAGCAUAAGGCCAGUCACUUCCCAUGAGAAAAGCUUGUGAGUCACAAGGAUGUAACCCCCAGCUGAAUCACUCACUUCGCUCACAUCUCACUCUCUUCCUCUCCCAGUCGCACUCAGUUUGUCUCUUUCUUGCCCUGGGUUACACACUGCUGUCACACACAAAAAGGUCUUCCUGGAGCUGUUGGGAAACCCUGCUGAAAGGCUUUACU